This 417-nucleotide ribosomal RNA is filed under the name uncultured prokaryote. RNAcentral's name for it is "bacterial SSU rRNA". It matches the Rfam family "Bacterial small subunit ribosomal RNA", at positions 505 to 918 of the family's 1533-position model. The record is from RNAcentral.
GUGUCAGCAGCCGCGGUAAUACGUAGGUAGCGAGCGUUAUUCGGAUUCACUGGGCGUAAAGGGUCCGCAGGGGGCCUGCCAAGUCGGAUGUGAAAGCUCAAGGCUCAACCUUGAAAUGUCAUCCGAAACUGGCGGGCUUGAGUGCACGAGGGGAAAGUGGAAUUCCUGGUGUAGCGGUGGAAUGCGUAGAUAUCAGGAGGAACACCGGCGGCGAAGGCGGCUUUCUGGCGUGCAACUGACCCUCAGGGACGAAAGUGUGGGUAGCAAACAGGAUUAGAUACCCUGGUAGUCCACACCCUAAACGGUGCACACUCGAUGUGGGACGAACUUUGGUCCGUUCCGUGUCUAAGCUAACGCAUUAAGUGUGCCGCCUGGGAACUACGGCCGCAAGGCUAAAACUCAAAGGAAUUGACGGGG